ACCACAUUCGGACCGUCGGUCUACCGCGUAAUAGCACCCGCUCGGUGGAAGAUCUUCCCUUCGUCGU
RNAcentral lists this microRNA precursor (67 nucleotides) under Bombyx mori (domestic silkworm). RNAcentral describes it as "mir-2774 microRNA precursor family". It matches the Rfam family "mir-2774 microRNA precursor family". The record is from Rfam by way of RNAcentral. Lineage: Eukaryota; Metazoa; Arthropoda; Insecta; Lepidoptera; Bombycidae.